UACGAAGGGAGCUAGCGUUGUUCGGAAUCACUGAGCGUAAAGCGCACGUAGGCGGAUUUGUCAGUCAGGGGUGAAAUCCCGGGCCUCAACCUCGGAACUGCCUUUGAUACAACAAGUCCCUAGUCCGGAAGAGGUGGGUGGAACUCCUAGUGUAUAGGUGAAAUUCGCAGAUAUUAGGAAGAACACCGGUGGCGAAGGCGGCCCGCUGGUCCUGUACUGCCGCUGAGGUGCGAACGCGUGGGGAGCAAACAGG
This 253-nucleotide ribosomal RNA is filed under the name uncultured bacterium. RNAcentral describes it as "partial 16S ribosomal RNA". It matches the Rfam family "Bacterial small subunit ribosomal RNA", at positions 524 to 776 of the family's 1533-position model. The record is from RNAcentral.